AUACUUACCUGGCAGGGGAGAUACAUUGAUCACGAAGGUGGUUUUCCCAGGCGAGGCGUAUCCAUUGCACUCCGGAUGUGCUGACCCCUGCGAUUUCCCCAAAUGUGGGAAACUCGACUGCAUAAUUUGUGGUAGUGGCGGACAA
RNAcentral lists this small nuclear RNA (145 nucleotides) under Echinops telfairi (small Madagascar hedgehog). RNAcentral describes it as "U1 spliceosomal RNA (ENSETEG00000021446.1)". It matches the Rfam family "U1 spliceosomal RNA", at positions 1 to 148 of the family's 166-position model. Rfam says of the family: U1 is a small nuclear RNA (snRNA) component of the spliceosome (involved in pre-mRNA splicing). Lineage: Eukaryota; Metazoa; Chordata; Mammalia; Afrosoricida; Tenrecidae. The record is from RNAcentral.